AGUGGAUGGGGAGCAACCUAGUUGUGCGUGUGUAAAGGUAGUGCCAAGAAAAGCGAUGAUCAUGUUGAAAAUCAAUUCCCGGUACCCGAAACCGACACAGGUGGGCAAGUAGAGAAUACUAAGGGGCGCGAGGUAACUCUCUCCAAGGAACUCGGCAAAAUGACCCCGUAACUUAGGGAGAAGGGGUGCCACCGAGAGGUGGUCGCAGUGAAGAGGCCCAGGCGACUGUUUAGCAAAAACAUAGGUCUCUGCAAACUCGAAAGAGGAGGUAUAGGGGCUGACGCCUGCCCAGUGCCGGAUGUUAAAGAAGUUGGUCAGUUUUAGGAUGAAGCUAGCGACUGAAGCCCCGGUGAACGGCGGCCGUAACUAUAACGGUCCUAAGGUAGCGAAAUUCCUUGUCGGGUAAGUUCCGACCCGCACGAAAGGCGUAACGAUCUGGGCGCUGUCUCGGAGAGAGGCUCGGCGAAAUAGGAUUGUCUGUGAAGAUACGGACUACCUGCAUUUGGACAGAAAGACCCUAUGAAGCUUUACUAUAGCUUGGAAUUGUGUUCGGGCUUCCUGUGCGCAGGAUAGGUGGGAGGCGUAGAAGGUAUUCUUGUGGGGAUACUGGAGCCAACGGUGAGAUACCACUCUCAGGAGGCUAGAAUUCUAACUUAAUUAAGGACAGUUUCAGGUGGGUAGUUUGACUGGGGCGGUCGCCUCCAAAAAGGUAACGGAGGCGUACAAAGGUUCCCUCAGACUGGUUGGAAAUCAGUCGAAGAGUGCAAAGGCAGAAGGGAGCUUGACUGCGAGAAGUACAGUUCGAGCAGGGUGGAAACACGGUCUUAGUGAUCCGACGGUGCUGUGUGGAAGGGCCGUCGCUCAACGGAUAAAAGUUACUCUAGGAUAACAGGCUGAUCUCCCCCAAGAGUUCACGUCGACGGGGAGGUUUGGCACCUCGAUGUCGGCUCAUCGCAACCUGGGGCGGAAGUACGUCCCAAGGGUUGGGCUGUUCGCCCAUUAAAGCGUUACGUGAGCUGGGCUCAGAACGUCGUGAGACAGUUCGGUCCAUAUCCGAUGUAGGCGUGAGAAUAUUGAGAGGAGCCUUCCUUAGUACGAGAGGACCGGGAAGGACGCACCGCUGGUGUACCUGUUAUGAUGCCAAUUGUAAACGCAGGGUAGCCAAGUGCGGAGAGGAUAACCGCUGAAAGCAUCUAAGUGGGAAGCCCACCUCAAGAUGAGUAUUCUGGUGUAAGGUCACGGGAAGACGACCCGUAAAUAGGCACGAGGUGGAAGUGCAGAGAUGUAUGAAGCCGAAGUGUACUAAUAGACCGUCGGCUUGAUC
This 1324-nucleotide ribosomal RNA is filed under the name metagenome. RNAcentral's name for it is "bacterial LSU rRNA". It matches the Rfam family "Bacterial large subunit ribosomal RNA", at positions 1561 to 2925 of the family's 2925-position model. The record is from RNAcentral.